This is an RNA transcript of Fragaria vesca subsp. vesca, 563 nucleotides long. RefSeq lists it as uncharacterized. NCBI's taxonomy places the organism in Eukaryota, Viridiplantae, Streptophyta, Magnoliopsida, Rosales, Rosaceae. The transcript is spliced from 2 exons. The record is from RefSeq and is a predicted model, not a curated record.
CAAUUUAUGGUUACAUCCGGCGGGUUUGGCCGGAAAUUUAUGCCUUUUUGUUUUUCUUUUUAAUAAAAUUUUAAAUCGGGGGUUCGUUCUUUCUUUUGAUCUUCAGAAUCCUAUUUUUCUCUUCGUUUCUGGUUUGAAACAAUUGGGCCUCCGCUGUGUGAGUGAGAGGCCCAAUUUUUUGGAUCUGUAAUGGUGGGCCAGGUUUACUGGGUUCAUGUUUUUCUUUUCUCCUACCAUGGUGUUACUGGUUUUUCAUCUCUAGGCCCAGUUGUAUUUUCACCUUUUUCACCUCUGCUAUGGCUAGGGUUUCCCAUUUAAGUAGCAUUUCCUUAACUGAGCCUCCGGGUCCUGGAGAAGGAGAAAAUUGAAGGGUUUAAGGAAGCUUAAGGUGAGAAUGUUUUCUCUCGUGAUUCCACCUCCUCAGAUUCCAGUACCUUUGAAGGUUGCUCUGGAGCUUGCACCUCAGGCUGAAAGUUCUGGCAGCCAUGGAGGCGGCGGAAAUAGGAGAACUGGCAUUGGAGCCCCACCCCCACCCCCACCCCCACCCCCACCCAUGUUCGGGU